RNAcentral lists this transfer RNA (84 nucleotides) under Roseivirga sp. RNAcentral describes it as "tRNA-Leu". It matches the Rfam family "tRNA". From Rfam's summary of the family: Transfer RNA (tRNA) molecules are approximately 80 nucleotides in length. Their secondary structure includes four short double-helical elements and three loops (D, anti-codon, and T loops). Further hydrogen bonds mediate the characteristic L-shaped molecular structure. tRNAs have two regions of fundamental functional importance: the anti-codon, which is responsible for specific mRNA codon recognition, and the 3' end, to which the tRNAs corresponding amino acid is attached (by aminoacyl-tRNA synthetases). tRNAs cope with the degeneracy of the genetic code in two manners: having more than one tRNA (with a specific anti-codon) for a particular amino acid; and 'wobble' base-pairing, i.e. permitting non-standard base-pairing at the 3rd anti-codon position. The record is from RNAcentral. Lineage: Bacteria; Pseudomonadati; Bacteroidota; Cytophagia; Cytophagales; Roseivirgaceae. RNAcentral also lists the same sequence under 1 other name.
GCGCACGUGGCGGAAUUGGUAGACGCGCCAGCUUGAGGGGCUGGUGACCUUAUGGUCGUGGAAGUUCGACUCUUCUCGUGCGCA